AUUGAACGCUGGCGGCAGGCCUAACACAUGCAAGUCGAACGAGUGGCGGACGGGUGAGUAAUGUCUGGGAAACUGCCCGAUGGAGGGGGAUAACUACUGGAAACGGUAGCUAAUACCGCAUACCAUCGGAUGUGCCCAGAUGGGAUUAGCUAGUAGGUGGGGUAACGGCUCACCUAGGCGACGAUCCCUAGCUGGUCUGAGAGGAUGACCAGCCACACUGGGACUGAGACACGGUCCAGACUCCUACGGGAGGCAGCAGUGGGGAAUAUUGGACAAUGGGCGCAAGCCUGAUUCAGCCAUGCCGCGUGUAUGAUGAAGGCCUUCGGGUUGUAAAGUACUUUCAGCGAGGAGGCGUUACUCGCAGAAGAAGCACCGGCUAACUACGUGCCAGCAGCCGCGGUAAUUC
RNAcentral lists this ribosomal RNA (406 nucleotides) under uncultured bacterium. RNAcentral describes it as "partial 16S ribosomal RNA". It matches the Rfam family "Bacterial small subunit ribosomal RNA", at positions 30 to 526 of the family's 1533-position model. The record is from RNAcentral.